RNAcentral lists this long non-coding RNA (1243 nucleotides) under Coffea arabica (coffee). RNAcentral describes it as "long non-coding RNA (CARA_LNC002377)". Lineage: Eukaryota; Viridiplantae; Streptophyta; Magnoliopsida; Gentianales; Rubiaceae. The record is from RNAcentral.
AUAGAGAAAUGCUGGCUGUGAGUACUCCAUUGUCGGAUAUACAAUUGACUGUCAACAACUGCAACCAAGAAUCAUCAAAGAAAUUAUCCAGGGCAAAAUGCUUGAUCAUUUCUUUUUCAGCUCUCUAUCAUAAUAAAGAAAAAUCUUCUACCCAAUAUGGUGACCUGUUUGGUAUAGCACAAUUAUGGUUACAACAAAUAUAUUCUAGGCUGCACCACCACUUGAAACACCACGUUCAUCAUUGCUGUGAAACAAAUAUAUUCUAGGCUGCACCACCACUUGAAACACCACGUUCAUCAUUGCUGUGAAAAUUUAAGAGAUCAUCACUGUACAACCUUCAAAGUCAUAUGUCCCAUCUCUUUUUGACACGGAACAUCAAAGCAGAGGAUUUGAUGUCAUCUUGGGGCACCUGGAGCAUGAACUGAACUUUAAUCUUCAUGGGAGCAGUCUUAGCUUUGCCAUCCUCCUCUCCAACCUAAACGCAAGGCAUUAGAAAGCUCAACUCUGGCGUACCAAAGUUUCACUAUGAGAAACCAAGGUGUUGAUCAACAAUGCCCAAAGAAGCAGAAGACAACCUAACCAUACAAUUAUGGGCCUUUGCAAUAUACCAUGUAUCUCACGCAUAAGCAAAUCAACAGGAAGCUCAGUAGGCUGAUGUAAUGAAGCUCCUUAAACACUGGCUACUAGUGGAAACAGAAGAAAACAACGAUGUGGCAAGGGUGGCGUGAUAUGGCAUCUCGCAGUCAGCAGGAGCUAAUUUUUCUAACACAACUCAAAAACAUGCUGCUGAUCUCAUCAGUUGAAAUAGAACAUGUAUUUCGAUUUGAAUUAAUUUCUGCAUCCUAAGCUUUUUCUCAUUUGUUUUUUGGACUGUCUGACAAGAAAUAUACGCACAAAUAUAAUUUAGAAGAGGUAAAAUAGAAGAUAAGGGACAGUUACUAUUUUAUUUCUGACCGAUUAAUAGAUCAACACAUUGUUCUCAAGGAAAUAGAAUAAGAAAAUAUUUCAUGAAACCAAUGCCCACAUUCUAACCAGAUGAGAAAGAAGCACAAGCACAAUUUGUUUUAUGUGGUAGGAUAUCUCCGAGGUACUAAUCUGGCUCAACUUGAACGUUCACCCAACAUUUUGAAUGAGUAAUUACACUUAGAGCCAACAUUCAGACAAUUAGAAUGAUGUUUUAUGUUAAGUUAAUGCAUAACAAUUAGCAGCCAAAGACAAUGAAAUUAGUGCAGAAAAAUAAAAC